ACACCACUUCCUUUUUAACUGAAAGAGAGAAAAGCUAAACGAGAGAGAGAGAGAGAGAGAGAGAGAACCGGAGAGCUAGAGAGACGGAAGGCCGGUCACACUUCCGGCAACGAUCACUAAGAUAUCUGGCGAGUUACCACCUGGCCGCCUUCUACCCUUCCAUUUAUACCCUCGGGAAAGAAGCAUGUGCGAACUAUCCUUCUCCCCUGUGGUUCAUAGACUCGCACCCCUACAACUCCAUAAUCAUCUUCAUUGUAGAAUCUUACUGCUUCAAUCUUAGCUUGAGCAAGUUCCAAUCAGCCUCAACACGGAGACUGGAGGUUGCAAAUCGGUUUCAGACAAGGUUAAAACCACCUAUUGGUGGGUUCUCCGAGCAGUCUAGUGACGCUAGGUAUAGGUUAUCGACAAUGUUGUAGGUAAGAACCAGUUACUUUAUCUUUGGUAUGUUAGUGUUUAUUUAAACAGGCAGGCCUCAACAAUUAGGGCUCCAAUUUUUAAUAUUUUCAAUUUUGAUUCUUGCAAUUUUGUUUGCUUGUCUAACUAGGUACCGAAUUGUUAUGAUUCUUGGGUUUUCCAUAGGUGCUAAUUACCUAAAUUAAUUUGUUUAUGUUCUUAUGGUUAGUCAUGGAAGAACUUAAUAUAAUUUGUUGACAAAGUUGGUGAUAUGCGGGAGAAUAGUCAUUUAUCAAGUAAAGUUGAAGGGCAAAAUUAGUUAGAUGGAUAUAGAUAUUGAUGAUGCUGAUAAUAAACAAGUCGAGUGGUCCAUUUGAACAGCGUUUCACAGAUCGUGGAUGAAUACCAGGCACAAAUUUCAUCUUUGAUGACAGAAAACGGGUAUUGUAAGAUUGGCAUUGGACUUUUACACAUAUUCCGUGAAGUUUAUAAACAUUGUAUGAAAUCAUAGUUUGAUUGAUAAGAGUUUUUUUUUUUUAUAAAUGUAUAAGUACUUCAUUUAGGUGAUAAGCUUACGACAUUAGAACCAGAAGCCAUACAGCAGGUAGAACUGGUGGUCAUUUAGGCCCUUGGAAUAUAUUGUGUUAUUUAAGUUGUAUUGUAAGAUUGUUAAACCUUAAGAAAAUUUUAACCGUUUGAAGAUUUAUCUAAUGGUAUAACCGUAUAAAAAACUUAUGUUUUAUUUCUAAAUUUGUGUGCUUCCUUAGUCAGGUCACGAAAAGAUGUGUACAUGUUCAUACUAACACAAAAAGAGUAGAGCUUUCGCAAGCAUCAACAGGUGGGCAGUUUUAGCGGCAAGUUGUUUCGUUUUCCUCCUUCAUUUGACAUUCUUUUUAUCCCAAUCCUGCGUUAUGUUUACUUAAUUAGAUUUGUAACUUUUUUUUAUCAUCAGACUAUAAUUUUCCACCACAACUUCAUUGUUUUUCAUGGAUAUGUGUAUUCUUCAACAUUUAGUUAAUGCUUAUAAUUGUGUGAUUAAUUCAUGUUGUUGGAUGGGUUUCAUCUGAUUAAUUUACACAAAUAUAUGGGUAGCAAAUAAAUAUGACUUUUGUUCAACUUUCAUAUAGGGUUGCAUAAAAUUAAAAGGGAGCUUAAACAAGGAUUUUGAUGGGGCUCAACCUCCUACGAGGAUAGACAGGUAGAGUUUAAAUGACAGUUAAAUAAAUUUAUGAUGUAUGCUCGAGCUCGAAUUGAAUAGUAUCUAAGAUAUGCUUAAGCUUAGCUCAAAAGCUUUGGUACUCAUAUUAAAAUAAUCUUCAUGAAAUUUUGAGGGGGAAAAUUCAGUUUAAGAGAAAAUCAUUAACAAAGAAACAACAAUUACAUUUACAUGUUAUGGCAUGGCUAAAGUAGAAAGAAUGAGUAGUCUGAUGGCUGGAUAUGAGUGUUGUGUCUAAAUGUGCUUCUUAAUUUGCAUUAAUCAUUAAAUUGUUAUUAAUUAUUAAAGGUUUAAUUUAUGAUGGAUGAUUUCAGUGUAGAUUGAUUGUUGCAGAAAAGAAAAAGAACUGGUGAGGCAAUUGCUCAAUUAAAAAAUCUGAGGUUGAUCUUUAGGUUGUAUUUGGAUGCUUAUAAGAUCUUCAAAGCAUAUGAAAUAUGAAGCAAUUUAUUCUUUCUUACCUUAACAAUGCACUAGCUUACUUUAGAAAACCCAAUAGCCAAUUGUCUAAUAGUUUUAUCUAAUGCAACUGAAUUCGACAUCAGAACGCAAAAAGAAGCCUACAACUUUGUUGUAGGUUGAAUUGCUUAUUUUAAUAGCUCUGAUUGUUUCCAUCGUCCGAUAUGUAUAUCUUUUGAUUCCCACAUACUCUCGAAUGCUUCUCUGCUAUUGUUAUUCAUUUGAUUUCGACACCAAUGUACAAUUUUCACAGUUCAACCGAGGAAAACAUAGUGGUAGCAAUGGAGACUGUUUGAGGUUGUUUUAAUGUUCUUUGUUCUUGAAACAUAACUACUUAGUGAAAAUAAUCCAACUUUAUUUCUUUCUUUGAUAGUUUCAGCGUGCAUUCUUCACAUCCCAAAUCUCAAGGCGCUUAGUCAUUGGUAAGUAGAUCACCACUUGAUUCCAUGUCACUAAGGAAGCGAUUAGCUUAUAGUCUCUUACUACACAGGUACAUUUAGUUUAUAUGUUUUGAUUUAUGUUUUAGUAAAUGGGUUUAUAUUAAAGUUUUAUCACCUAAAUUUCUGAAAUGUAUAAGUUUGAAUAAGACAAACCAAAAUACCAAGGGUUCUACCUGUAUGGAAGAGAUAUAAACCCAAAAUAAUGUGCGCUUAUUGUAACUAAGUUUUGUGCAGUUUGAAGGUAGACCAUUGGAGGGUACAAAGUAGAUAGAAGAACAUGCUCAGUUCAAGAAGGGUUGUUAUUAUCAAGGGAUGAUGAUCCAAGCAAGCUUUAUAAAAGUAUGUAGAAGGUCAAUGGCAUUUGUCUUGUCAUAGGUUUUACAUGGCUAAUGUUUAGUGUUAAUUAACCUUCCCCGCCGCAACGCGGGUGAGAUUUUCUAGAGUUUGUCUACAUUAAGCCAGAAUUUGUAAGCCCCCGACCGCAACGCGACGGGGGAGUUCCAUCUAGUUUUUAUUUCUAUUUUGUGUCACCCUUUGUUUAUUUGUUUAAUAAAGACCAACACUUUGUUUUUUUC
Molecule: long non-coding RNA, 3080 nt
Organism: Helianthus annuus (common sunflower)
Lineage: Eukaryota; Viridiplantae; Streptophyta; Magnoliopsida; Asterales; Asteraceae
Exons: 2
Source: RefSeq, a predicted model, not a curated record